CGCGCGAUACAGGGUGACAGCCCCGUACACAAAAAUGCACAUGCUGUGAGCUCGAUGAGUAGGGCGGGACACGUGGUAUCCUGUCUGAAUAUGGGGGGACCAUCCUCCAAGGCUAAAUACUCCUGACUGACCGAUAGUGAACCAGUACCGUGAGGGAAAGGCGAAAAGAACCCCGGCGAGGGGAGUGAAAAAGAACCUGAAACCGUGUACGUACAAGCAGUGGGAGCACGCUUAGGCGUGUGACUGCGUACCUUUUGUAUAAUGGGUCAGCGACUUAUAUUCUGUAGCAAGGUUAACCGAAUAGGGGAGCCGAAGGGAAACCGAGUCUUAACUGGGCGUUAAGUUGCAGGGUAUAGACCCGAAACCCGGUGAUCUAGCCAUGGGCAGGUUGAAGGUUGGGUAACACUAACUGGAGGACCGAACCGACUAAUGUUGAAAAAUUAGCGGAUGACUUGUGGCUGGGGGUGAAAGGCCAAUCAAACCGGGAGAUAGCUGGUUCUCCCCGAAAGCUAUUUAGGUAGCGCCUCGUGAAUUCAUCUCCGGGGGUAGAGCACUGUUUCGGCAAGGGGGUCAUCCCGACUUACCAACCCGAUGCAAACUGCGAAUACCGGAGAAUGUUAUCACGGGAGACACACGGCGGGUGCUAACGUCCGUCGUGAAGAGGGAAACAACCCAGACCGCCAGCUAAGGUCCCAAAGUCAUGGUUAAGUGGGAAACGAUGUGGGAAGGCCCAGACAGCCAGGAUGUUGGCUUAGAAGCAGCCAUCAUUUAAAGAAAGCGUAAUAGCUCACUGGUCGAGUCGGCCUGCGCGGAAGAUGUAACGGGGCUAAACCAUGCACCGAAGCUGCGGCAGCGACGCUGAUGCGUUGUUGGGUA
Molecule: ribosomal RNA, 876 nt
Filed under: Escherichia coli
Lineage: Bacteria; Pseudomonadati; Pseudomonadota; Gammaproteobacteria; Enterobacterales; Enterobacteriaceae
Description: partial 23S ribosomal RNA
Rfam family: Bacterial large subunit ribosomal RNA
Source: RNAcentral